UAUUGAUUCACUCCCGCAGAUAUACACAUUUCUUUUACCGGCUGUAUAUAUUUACGCCCACGCUGCCUUACCCCUUUGUUUUCUUCUAUUGUUGGAACACUUUUGCGAAUGCAGAUUGAUUAAACUGGCGGUGUAAGAAGAAUCGUAACACUCUGUUGACCCAGUGUACCCAGUCAUCUCCGCAGCCCCUCCAGUUAAUCCCCCACUACUUGUGUGUUUUGUUUAGUCGGCCAAACACAACGAUAUACAUAUAUAAUGACUGAGUCAAGCCGGUUUUUCUUUGCUAAAUUUAAGCGGCUGUCAAGUGCUUAUCGUUUCGAGUCCGGUACCUUCUGUAUGCCAUGGAUAGGCCGGAACCCACUGAAUAAGUGAAAAGUGAUAACACAGGUCACUGGGAGAGCCAAUGGGAGAAGAAAUGGGGCCGCAAGGUCAGAGAUAAUUGUGUAAAUUUACAAGUUUUACGACACUUUCACGCAAUACCAAUUAAAUGCGCGGGCAUAAGAGCCAAGGUCGAGAGAUUAUAAACGAAAUUACGGCUUAAGUCAUCUGGUGUGUUCCGGUUUUUAAAUUCACACCAACAAAAAUGGCUUCAAUAAACAUUUAAAAUUAAAUUAAUAGCAUAUUUGCUUUAAGUAUAAUUUUAAUUUUAUUGCAAGUGUUAAAUUGAAGUUCAAAAUGUUUUGAAACACUAAGAAAAUGCCACCAUUACUUAAAAAGCAUUGAGUAUAAUAUUAAAAUAUAUUUCUGAGUGUUUUCUGGAACAGCUCACCAAUGAGCUCAUAAUAAAUAUUUAAAAGCCGCUCGACAACAAAUUUAAUUAUUCUGAAUUUUAGAUUUCAUGUGCAAUUGCUAACUUGCAUUUUGGAGCAGCGAUACUCACCAUUGCAGUACUGGGCGGCCAAGUCAGACUCGUCGUAGCGACAUCUCUUGGUGUACACCGGUUGGUCCGUGUCCAAAUCCCCGACAGGAUUGUGACCGGGAUUCAGACGUUUCUUGCAGCGCAGGACUUCCGGGGGCAGGACGACCGGCAUCGGUUGUGCCGCCAGGUGAUUGCCAUCGCUGUUGUUGUUGUUGUUGGCGUCGGUCAUGAAAGUGACGGCGCGUGGAUUGAACGGAUCCAUCGAAGGACGCAGCGCUCCGGUUUCGAAAGUGGCGGCCGCCGACGACGACGGAUCACCAUGUGCCCAGCACUCGAAGUUCGUCAAAACCAUCGCGCGCCAGCUGCAGUGGAAUU
Molecule: long non-coding RNA, 1234 nt
Organism: Drosophila simulans
Lineage: Eukaryota; Metazoa; Arthropoda; Insecta; Diptera; Drosophilidae
Exons: 2
Source: RefSeq, a predicted model, not a curated record